Molecule: small nucleolar RNA, 103 nt
Filed under: Castor canadensis (American beaver)
Lineage: Eukaryota; Metazoa; Chordata; Mammalia; Rodentia; Castoridae
Description: Small nucleolar RNA U13 (ENSCCNG00000023049.1)
Rfam family: Small nucleolar RNA U13
Source: Rfam by way of RNAcentral
AUCCUUUUUGGUUCAUAAGCAUGAUGAUUGGGUGUUCACGCCUUUGUAUGACAUGUGCCUCCCUCAGACCUUGUUACGAUGUCUGCACAUUACCCAUCUGACA